CCAGCAGGACCAGGAGCGGGUCGGGGGCCAUGCUGCCCCCAAGCCAGGAGGCCAUGGCGAGGGCAGCCUCCCCGCCCCCACCCAGAGGAGCGGCCCCCCACGCCCCCCGAGCGCCGCCCAGCCCCGGGGUCGCCUCCCCUAAGGCACCGAGCCCGCUCCCUCAGCGCCCCAGCGCAGGGGCCUCCCUGGCGGGAGAGGACAGCUCGGGGACGGCGAGCGGCCUCCUUGGAGAAGAGGCCCCGCGCCAUUCAGCGCGCGCGGGCGGCGCUCGGGGCCGACAAGGGCCGCAUUGUCCGGCCGGCGGGAGGCUCGCGGCCCGGCGCUGACGUAAUCUCCAAACGUCUCCGGCGGCAGCUGCUGGGCGAAGCCGGCCACCUUCUCCGGGCGCUUUCAGCCGCCCACGCCCGCUCUUCCGGCCCCGCCAGACAAUCGGGCCCUUUCUCUGCCCAAUUAGCUAUCACUUCUGGAGGCCGGCGCUGUCCAGCGGCCGCGGGCCCGCGGCGGCGGCAGCAGGCCGGGCGGGAGGGGCCGGGCGGCCCGGCGGGAGGGCCGGCGGGAGCUGUGCGGAUGAAAGGGGAGCAGAGGGGCGCGAAGAGGUGCAAGCUGGAGAUCAUGAGGCGCCCUGGUCCCCAGAUGCCAGACCCUGGGAGUCCAUCACCAGGAGAUGGCCCACCGCCAGGGACACAAGCCAGGGAGAAAACUGAGGAGCGUCCAUUCCUGAAUUUGUCCUCCAUCUACAAAGUGAGAAUAGAGAGCUGCCAGCCGGUGGCCUGGCCGGGUGUCCAGCGAGUCUGCAGAAAUGUGAGCUCCGACCAGAGCCCCCAGGGCUAAGCACAGUUCCUGCACCUAGAAGGCUCUCAGGAAGGACACCUUCAUGGGCCGACGUCAAGAAGCCCAAUUAAAGCAGGCCCAAGUUUUAUUAGACCAGAUUCUGCCCAGAUGGUCAAACCACCAGCUACAGCAGGGCUGAGAGUGAGAUUCUCCAAAGUAUUGGAGUCUUAUUGAAAAUCAUGAUUCAUUUUUGCUUCUGGUAAAAGCAAGACACACUUGUUAUUACCAAAAAAUAAAAAGCAAACAUUGCAUGCAUGUGUGAUUUAACAGUUGCGUUCAGUUCAGUUCAGUCGCUCAGUCAUGUCCG
Molecule: long non-coding RNA, 1138 nt
Filed under: Cervus hanglu yarkandensis (Yarkand deer)
Lineage: Eukaryota; Metazoa; Chordata; Mammalia; Artiodactyla; Cervidae
Description: lncRNA (ENSCHYG00000000226.1)
Source: RNAcentral